AUUCUGGUUGAUCCUGCCAGUAGUUAUAUGCUUGUCUCAAAGAUUAAGCCAUGCAUGUCUAAGUACACACGAAUUAAAAGUGAAACCGCAAAAGGCUCAUUAUAUCAGUUAUGGUUCCUUAGAUCGUUAACAGUUACUUGGAUAACUGUGGUAAUUCUAGAGCUAAUACAUGCAAUUAAAACAUGAACCUUAUGGGACAUGUGCUUUUAUUAGGCUAAAACCAAGCGAUCGCAAGAUCGUUAUAUUGGUUGAACUCUAGAUAACAUGCAGAUCGUAUGGUCUUGUACCGACGACAGAUCUUUCAAAUGUCUGCCCUAUCAACUUUUGAUGGUAGUAUCUAGGACUACCAUGGUUGCAACGGGUAACGGGGAAUCAGGGUUCGAUUCCGGAGAGGGAGCCUGAGAAACGGCUACCACAUCUAAGGAAGGCAGCAGGCGCGUAAAUUACCCACUCCCAGCUCGGGGAGGUAGUGACGAAAAAUAACAAUACAGGACUCAUAUCCGAGGCCCUGUAAUUGGAAUGAGUACACUUUAAAUCCUUUAACAAGGACCAAUUGGAGGGCAAGUCUGGUGCCAGCAGCCGCGGUAAUUCCAGCUCCAAUAGCGUAUAUUAAAGUUGUUGCGGUUAAAACGUUCGUAGUUGUACUUGUGCUUCAUACGGGUAGUACAACUUACAAUUGUGGUUAGUACUAUACCUUUAUGUAUGUAAGCGUAUUACCGGUGGAGUUCUUAUAUGUGAUUAAAUACUUGUAUUUUUUCAUAUGUUCCUCCUAUUUAAAAACCUGCACUAGUGCUCUUAAACGAGUGUUAUUGUGGGCCGGUACUAUUACUUUGAACAAAUUAGAGUGCUUAAAGCAGGCUUCAAAUGCCUGAAUAUUCUGUGCAUGGGAUAAUGAAAUAAGACCUCUGUUCUGCUUUCAUUGGUUUUCAGAUCAAGAGGUAAUGAUUAAUAGAAGCAGUUUGGGGGCAUUAGUAUUACGCACGAGAGGUGAAAUUCUUGGACCGUCGUAAGUCCAAAAUUAGCGAAAGCAUUUCCAAAGAUGUUUUCAUUAAUCACAGAACGA
This is a ribosomal RNA of Drosophila sechellia, 1063 nucleotides long. It matches the Rfam family "Eukaryotic small subunit ribosomal RNA", at positions 1 to 986 of the family's 1831-position model. Lineage: Eukaryota; Metazoa; Arthropoda; Insecta; Diptera; Drosophilidae. The record is from Rfam.